UGGGCUGUAGCCAAGCGGUAAGGCAACGGGUUUUGGUCUCGUCACGCCCAGGUUCGAAUCCUGGCAGCCCAG
RNAcentral lists this transfer RNA (72 nucleotides) under Allobacillus halotolerans. RNAcentral's name for it is "tRNA-Gln". It matches the Rfam family "tRNA". Rfam says of the family: Transfer RNA (tRNA) molecules are approximately 80 nucleotides in length. Lineage: Bacteria; Bacillati; Bacillota; Bacilli; Caryophanales; Bacillaceae. The record is from RNAcentral.